Non-coding RNA from Macaca mulatta (Rhesus monkey), 1958 nucleotides. NCBI's taxonomy places the organism in Eukaryota, Metazoa, Chordata, Mammalia, Primates, Cercopithecidae. The record is from RefSeq and is a predicted model, not a curated record.
CGCCACGAGGGCGCGCGGGGGAGGGGCGCAGGGCAAGGGAGGCGGCGCCCCCCUCCCGUGCGGCCUCGCGCGCCCCGUCCUGGGAGACCGAUCUCGCCCUCGCGUUGGCGGCGUCCCCUGCCGGCCGGGCGGCGAUUUGCAGGCCCAGCCGGCGCCGGUUUCACGCGGCGGCUCAACGUUCGCGGAGCCCCACGAGUACCCACCCGCUGGUCAGAUCGGCGGCCGCUGCCGCGGGGAGAAGCAGUAGCGUGUAGGGCGGGCACGCUGGUCCUGCUUCCAGUUGGGCUUCGAUUUUACACGUGAAGAAAGGAUGUCUCAGAGGAGUUAGAGAAGAGCAAUUAAUAGACAGUGCUAAAGCCUGGAUCUCCUGAAUCCUGGAAUUUCCAAUAGUCUGGAUUUUGUUGAUGGCAUCCCUGCAAUGGGAAUUCCAUAGCUUAACAAGUGCUGUGCAUUCUGCAUGUUUGUAAAUCGGUAACUGGCUCUAGAGGUUUGAUCAGAUUCAGAUGAAAGUGUCAUAAGUUAGAUUCCUGGGAAGAAAAUUCUGAGACACAUUCUGCUGGAUGAUUAUUAGGGCUCAUCCUUGGUUUCAACACCCAUAGAAGGAAGGGGGAAGAAGGAAUCGAACAGAGGAGAGACAGAAGUCGAGAUGCAUUUCAGGCCGGGACUCUUGACUGAACCCACAGGAGCUUUGGAGCUAGAAUGGCCCUUCAGAGUUUUCCUGAGUUGGGCUGAGAUGGCCAGUUCUUUAUAUUCCUGCAUGGGAUAGUCACUGGAUGUCCACCCCAGGAAGCAGUGUGGCCAAGACAGUCCCUGAAAUGCCUGCCAGCACUCCCUAUACCUGGAGCAAUGAGACCAACAUCACAGGGGGAUAUACUGGGUGAGGAUCACAGCAUUCAUCCCAGAAGAUGAGGAUACAGAAUUGGCUGACUGCUACAUUCUAAAUGUCAAUGUUCCCCAAAAUUCAUAUGUUGAAACUUAAUUCCCCAAUGUGAUGGCAUUAGGAAAGGGGGCCUUUGGGAGGGGCUAUAGGUCAUGAGUGGGAUUAGUGUCCAGAGAGCUGCCUUGCCCUUCCACCAUGUGAGGACAUAGUGAGAAGGUGCCAUCUAUGAACGAGGAAGUGGGCGCUUACUACCAGACACCCACUCUUCGGGCAACUUAAUCUUGAAUUUCCCAGCAUCCAGAACUCUGAGAAAUCAAUUUCUGCUGAUUAUAAGCUACCCAGUCCAUAGCAUUUUGUUAAAGCAGCUGAAACUAAACUAAGACAGUGACGUUUUCUGCAACAAAAAGAUAGAGUGAGUCUCUAUAGCAUACCAUGUAACAGAUGUGUUUGGAAAAAUAACCUCAUUUCAUAUGUUUCCUCAAGCUAAAAAGAAUAUCAUAACAACAAAUGAGAAAAUAGUUGGUUUAGAAAUAUUGCACCCUAUGGAGAGAGUAUUUUGGAUUUGGUUUUUUUGUUUUGUUUUUAACUUUUGUUUUAGGUUCAGGGGCACAUAUGCAGGCUGGUUAUAUAGGUAAACUCAUGUCACAGGGAUUUGUUGUACAGAUAAUUUCAUCACCCAGGUACUAAGCCUAGUACCCAAUAGUUGCUCUUUUUCCUCCUCUCCCUCCUCCCACCCUCCACCCUCAAAUAGGCCCCAGUUUGUGUUGUUCCUUUCAUUAUGUUCAUGAAGUUGAGAGAGUGUUUUGAAAAAGAAUGUUGGAAAGCAUUUCCACUGUUAGAUGAUUUUAAGUCAAAAAGUUAUAUAACAGUGUCACCUAUCUAGAUGCACACAAGCAUGGACACAGAAUUGUUUCAUAUGUUUAAAACUUUUCUAGAUCCUUUUGUGGUUCAUAAGCUUGAUGAUUGAGUUUUCACGUCCACGUGUGAGAUGUGCCUCCCUUGAGCCUUGUUACAACAUUGGCACAUUCCCUGCCUGAUGUGAACAAUAAAAAUAAAAAAUAAAAAUUUGCUAAACAGA